GACCUGGCGGCGGCUUACCAUGCGAGUCGAGCGAGACCUUCGGGUCUAGCGGCGGACAGGUGAGUAACGCGUGGGAACGUGCCCUUCUCUACGGAAUAGCCCCGGGAAACUGGGAGUAAUACCGUAUACGCCCUUUGGGGGAAAGAUUUAUCGGAGAAGGAUCGGCCCGCGUUGGAUUAGGUAGUUGGUGAGGUAACGGCUCACCAAGCCGACGAUCCAUAGCUGGUUUGAGAGGAUGAUCAGCCACACUGGGACUGAGACACGGCCCAGACUCCUACGGGAGGCAGCAGUGGGGAAUCUUAGACAAUGGGGGCAACCCUGAUCUAGCCAUGCCGCGUGAGUGAUGAAGGCCUUAGGGUUGUAAAGCUCUUUCAGCUGGGAAGAUAAUGACGGUACCAGCAGAAGAAGCCCCGGCUAACUCCGUGCCAGCAGCCGCGGUAAU
RNAcentral lists this ribosomal RNA (442 nucleotides) under uncultured bacterium. RNAcentral's name for it is "bacterial SSU rRNA". It matches the Rfam family "Bacterial small subunit ribosomal RNA", at positions 36 to 524 of the family's 1533-position model. The record is from RNAcentral.